UGAAAUCCCCGGGCUCAACCUGGGAACUGCAUUCGAAACUGGCAGGCUAGAGUCUUGUAGAGGGGGGUAGAAUUCCAGGUGUAGCGGUGAAAUGCGUAGAGAUCUGGAGGAAUACCGGUGGCGAAGGCGGCCCCCUGGACAAAGACUGACGCUCAGGUGCGAAAGCGUGGGGAGCAAACAGGAUUAGAUACCCUGGUAGUCCACGCCGUAAACGAUGUCGAUUUGGAGGUUGUGCCCUUGAGGCGUGGCUUCCGGAGCUAACGCGUUAAAUCGACCGCCUGGGGAGUACGGCCGCAAGGUUAAAACUCAAAUGAAUUGACGGGGGCCCGCACAAGCGGUGGAGCAUGUGGUUUAAUUCGAUGCAACGCGAAGAACCUUACCUGGUCUUGACAUCCACAGAACUUUCCAGAGAUGGAUUGGUGCCUUCGGGAACUGUGAGACAGGUGCUGCAUGGCUGUCGUCAGCUCGUGUUGUGAAAUGUUGGGUUAAGUCCCGCAACGAGCGCAACCC
RNAcentral lists this ribosomal RNA (510 nucleotides) under Klebsiella pneumoniae. RNAcentral's name for it is "bacterial SSU rRNA". It matches the Rfam family "Bacterial small subunit ribosomal RNA", at positions 595 to 1104 of the family's 1533-position model. The record is from RNAcentral. Lineage: Bacteria; Pseudomonadati; Pseudomonadota; Gammaproteobacteria; Enterobacterales; Enterobacteriaceae.